UGAAUGCAGGCGUGCAUGUUGGCACAGGGCACGGGUCCAGAGACCAGCCUGGGGCACAACGGGGCAGGGCGGUGUUCUUUUCCAGGGGCUCUAAUUCCGUCUCUGGCACAUGUUUUGCCCACAGCACCUGGGCUGCCUCCUGCCCAGAGGGGCCGCAGAAACCUCAGCAGCCGUGUCGCAACUGUGUGGCCCCGCCACCCGGCCAUGCCAGCAGCUGCCCAGGAAGAGGCAGGUGUUGCCAAGGGUCGGGCUGCCCCGGCAAUGCCCGGAGGGAAUGCCAGGGCCCCGGGACCCCUCCCAACACGGGCAAGGAGGGGACGGGUCCGAUUCCAGCGUACCAAGACCUUCCUGCCGAGAGGCCCUGGUCGGAGUCCCUUUGUGACCUCUCCUCUCCCAGACACGAGUCAGCAAGGCCGCUGAACAAAGACAUCUUGGAGGCAAACCAUCCUUCCCUCUCGUGCACCAGUCAACACGGAUGGUUUAUUCGGAAGGGACACCUGCUCCUCCAGCUGAAGAGGAUAUUCCCUGACUUGGGCCUCCUCGCCUUCAGAGCCCUGCCGCUGCCUGGGCACCCACCUAUCCUAGACGGGACCUGCUGUGUCUCCCACGGGGGACAUGCACGCGGGGGCCCUGCUCUUGGAGAGCGCGGGGCUGCGGCCGUGCAGGGCUGUGACGCCGUCCUCGGAGGACCCGCGGCCCCCACGCCGGCUGCUCAGGGAGGGCUGGGGAAGGCGAGGCCCAGCUGUCGCUGCUCCUGGUCAUCCGCCGCCAUGGGAACCACGCAGCCCGCCAGCGCGGACUGGGGUACGACGCCCAUCGCAGAGGUGCAGCUUCCAGGCACAUGAACUUUGGAGCAUCCGCGGCAGAGACGGCGCUCCGGAUGUGCCCCUUACGCCUACACAGAUUUACUUACCUACACUCGCCGUCCACGGCACACGGAUGUAUGCGCAGAUCUCCACUCGACACUCCCCUUGAGCCAAAAGACAGGAGCAGCAGUAUAGAGAAGUCAGCGGUGGAAGGGCCCCAGCAUAUACUGUUGGCAAAGCUGAAGCCCCACCAGGUGGAAGAAGUUAACUGCGUGCUGCCCACCAGCACAGAGACCCCGGACCGGUGGGACCCAGAAGGUGGAUGAUGCUGACGCCCAGUGACCUCACCACCAGCCACUCAGAAGAGUGUCCGCGAGCUGAUCACGCCCUGCUCCUUGAAAACCGUGACUCCUGGCUCCCCCUCCAGGGUGGGACACAGUUUUGAGGGCACUCGCCCGCUGUGGCCCCCUUGCCUGACAAAGCAAUAAAGCUCUUCUCCGCUUCACCCAAAA
Long non-coding RNA from Phacochoerus africanus (Common warthog), 1318 nucleotides. RefSeq lists it as uncharacterized. The record is from RefSeq and is a predicted model, not a curated record. NCBI's taxonomy places the organism in Eukaryota, Metazoa, Chordata, Mammalia, Artiodactyla, Suidae. The transcript is spliced from 5 exons.